GAUGAAGAACGUAGCGAAAUGCGAUACUUGGUGUGAAUUGCAGAAUCCCGUGAACCAUCGAGUCUUUGAACGCAAGUUGCGCCCGAAGCCACUAGGCCGAGGGCACGCCUGCCUGGGCGUCACACGCCGUUGCCCCCCCAUCUACUCCUUCGGGAUUGCGGGGGGGCGGAUGAUGGCCUCCCGUGCGCCUAGCCGCGCGGUUGGCAUAAAUACCAAGUCCUCGGCGACGCACGCCACGACAAUCGGUGGUUGCGAAACCUCGGUUGCCCGUCGUGUGCGUUCGUCGCGCAUCGAGGGCUCGAAAAAAUGCUCGGCUCCGGCUGGGCUUUCAACGCGACCCCACGUCAGGCGGGGUUACCCGCUGAAUUUAAGCAUAUCAAUAAGCGGAGGA
This 391-nucleotide unclassified non-coding RNA is filed under the name soil metagenome. Its description in RNAcentral is "partial contains 5.8S ribosomal RNA, internal transcribed spacer 2, and large subunit ribosomal RNA". The stretch from base 1 to 122 matches the Rfam family "5.8S ribosomal RNA", at positions 35 to 154 of the family's 154-position model. The record is from RNAcentral.